RNAcentral lists this non-coding RNA (1106 nucleotides) under Pongo abelii (Sumatran orangutan). Lineage: Eukaryota; Metazoa; Chordata; Mammalia; Primates; Hominidae. The record is from RNAcentral.
GUUUGUGUGUGUGUGUGUGUGUUCCAGCCUUACAAGAGAAUGGCAGGAGGUCCCUGGGCAGGCGCAGGCCUCCAGUGGGAGGCUCAGGAUGGAAGCGCGCGCCCCUGACCUUGAAUGGCCCAAGGCCCAGAAUUCCUACCACGCCCCCGGCGUUCGCGAAGGAGCAGCCAACCUAACCCUACCUGCUGUGGUCAGGUGGAGGUGUGUGGUGGAAGGGGAAAGCCGGCCGUCUGGCAAAGCCCUACGGAGAAAGACACGAGGCUCCUGCGCAGGGAAAGCCGAGGUUGUCACCGCAGGCCUGGCACGACCAGGGCUGUGAUGCCCCGCCCGGCCCGACCCCCGCGCUCAGAGGUACCUGGAGACGAUUUCAACUGAAGUAAUGAAGGCAGUGUCGUGCUGUCGAGAGAAAGGUGGAUCCCAACAACAGGAAACUACCUAAAUCACCGACCAGUUCUGGUGCUGCCCGCGCAGGGCUGCAUCGCCCGCCGCCGCCGCCGCCUCCGCCGCCGCCGCCGCAGCCAAGGAGAGAACCCUGCGAUCGCGCCUGGCCCAGCCCAGCCCCUAGGCAACCUGCGCCCGCCGCUGCAAUGGAGUGCCCCAGGCGGCCGCAAAUGCGUCAAGGAAGGGGAAGCCACAGGCCCCAGUAAGCCAAAGUCAAGCCCGUUUGCCAACCUGCGUGUCCAUGCCUGUAAGCCCUUCUCUCGGCCAAGGAAGAAAGGAAGAAAGAAAAAAGAAACCCAGGGGCCUGUAUCCCCUGAUUAAACACAGCACAGCACUCCAGGCAGACAUGCCCGGUGUCGGCUCCUUUGCACCAUUGACCUCAGGCCAGACACCUCAGCGCCAACAAUGGGACCUCGGCCUUCCGGCUAGGUUUGCCCCAGGCUGGGCAGGAAACCAGCUCAGCCGAAGACAGGGGCCAUUUCGAGCAGUGGGACCCCAAGACAGCAAACCCAGCCCAGUCACGACUUGACACUUAGGACAAUAUCUAUCUCUAUAGAAUUUUAGCACGAUAUGGCUUUUUCUCCCAGAAAACAACAAAUAAACCAGCACCAAGCAGACACAAAGAAACAAAAAGUCAGAACAAACCAGCCCUGCACAGAUGUAAC